This 74-nucleotide transfer RNA is filed under the name Axinella corrugata. Its description in RNAcentral is "tRNA-Ala". Lineage: Eukaryota; Metazoa; Porifera; Demospongiae; Axinellida; Axinellidae. The record is from RNAcentral.
GGGGUUUUGCUUAAUCCGGUCAAGCAUCAGGCAUUGCAUAUCUGAGAAGAUUGGCUCGGGACCAAUAAACUCCA